RNAcentral lists this ribosomal RNA (353 nucleotides) under uncultured Comamonas sp. RNAcentral's name for it is "bacterial SSU rRNA". It matches the Rfam family "Bacterial small subunit ribosomal RNA", at positions 1022 to 1382 of the family's 1533-position model. The record is from RNAcentral. Lineage: Bacteria; Pseudomonadati; Pseudomonadota; Betaproteobacteria; Burkholderiales; Comamonadaceae.
GGGAAUCGGAACACAGGUGCUGCAUGGCUGUCGUCAGCUCGUGUCGUGAGAUGUUGGGUUAAGUCCCGCAACGAGCGCAACCCUUGUCAUUAGUUGCUACGAAAGGGCACUCUAAUGAGACUGCCGGUGACAAACCGGAGGAAGUGGGGAUGACGUCAAGUCCUCAUGGCCCUUAUAGGUGGGGCUACACACGUCAUACAAUGGCUGGUACAAAGGGUUGCCAACCCGCGAGGGGGAGCCAAUCCCAUAAAGCCAGUCGUAGUCCGGAUCGCAGUCUGCAACUCGACUGCGUGAAGUCGGAAUCGCUAGUAAUCGUGGAUCAGCAUGUCACGGUGAAUACGUUCCCGGGUCUU